This 505-nucleotide ribosomal RNA is filed under the name uncultured bacterium. Its description in RNAcentral is "bacterial SSU rRNA". It matches the Rfam family "Bacterial small subunit ribosomal RNA", at positions 30 to 530 of the family's 1533-position model. The record is from RNAcentral.
AUUGAACGCUGGCGGAAUGCUUUACACAUGCAAGCCGAACGGCAGCACGGGGCAACCUGGUGGCGAGUGGCGAACGGGUGAGUAAUACAUCGGAACAUGCCCAAUCGUGGGGGAUAACGUAGCGAAAGUUACGCUAAUACCGCAUACGAUCUACGGAUGAAAGCGGGGGAUCGCAAGACCUCGCGCGAGUGGAGCGGCCGAUGUCAGAUUAGGUAGUUGGUGGGGUAAAGGCUCACCAAGCCAACGAUCUGUAGCUGGUCUGAGAGGACGACCAGCCACACUGGAACUGAGACACGGUCCAGACUCCUACGGGAGGCAGCAGUGGGGAAUUUUGGACAAUGGGCGCAAGCCUGAUCCAGCCAUUCCGCGUGCAGGAUGAAGGCCUUCGGGUUGUAAACUGCUUUUGUACGGAACGAAACGGCGAGCUCUAAUACAGUUUGCUAAUGACGGUACCGUAAGAAUAAGCACCGGCUAACUACGUGCCAGCCGCCGCGGUAAAACCCCG